GUGGCUCACAUCUGUAUCCCAGUGCUUUGGGAGGCCGAGGCAGGAGGAUCGCUUGAGGCCAGGAGUUUGAGACCAGCCUGGGCAACAUAGUGAGAUCCUGUCUCUACAAAAAAAGAAAAAAGAAAUUUGUUUGAAUUAGCCAGCAUGGUGGCGUGCGCCCGUAGUCCUAGCUACCCAGGAGGCUGAGGCAAGAGGGUCACUUGAGCCUUGACAUUAGAGGUUAUAGUGGGCUAUGCUCAUACCACUGCACUCCAGCCCGAGUGACACAGAAGAGAGACCUUGUCUCUAAAAAAAAGAAAAGUGAUGAGAACAAACAUCCUUGCUACCAAUGUUAGGAAGUUUUCAGCAUUUCACUAUUAAUUAAUGAAGUUAGCUGCAGGAUUUUAGUGACUGUCCCAAUAUCAGAAGUUUAUUUCUGUUUAUAGUUUUUUCUAAGAGUUGGAGUUUUUUCACAACUUGAUAUGGACUUUUUUCAAAUGCCUUUUCCACAUCUAUUGAAGUAACUAUGUCAUUUCUUGUUAGCAUAGUAAUGUGGCGAAUUGCACUGAUUAACUAUUAAAUAUGAAAUCAACCUGGCAUUAUGGGGAUAAAUCCCACUUGGUUAUAACAUAUUAUUUUUCUACAUUGUUGGAUUGAAUCAUAUUUUAAAGAUUUUUUUUUGCAUCUAUGUUAAUGAACCAUCUUGGCCUAAAAUUUUCUGAUUUUGUAUUUUAUGUCAAGUUUUUGUGUUAAUAUUGUGUUGGCCUUAAGUCACAGAGUAUUUUUUUUUCUUCCUGUGUAUUCUGAAAGAGUUUGCAUAAGAUAGGUAAUAUUUCUUCCUUAACUGUUGUAUAGAAUUCAUCAGUGAAAUAAUCUAUACCUGGAGUUUUCUUUGUGAGGGCACUUUUAAAGCAACUCUAAUUUCUUUACUAUAUAUACCACUAUUCAGGUUUUCUGUUUUUUUCUUGUACUAGUUUUGGUAAGCUGUAUUUUUUCAUUUGUUCAUUCCAUCUAAGUUGUCAAAUGUGUUGACAUAAAGUUGUUUAUAAUCUUCCCAGGUUAUGAUUUUGAUACAGAGAGACUCUAUAACACUAUACCCUCUUUUAAACCUAAUACUGGUAAUUCGUGUUUCUUUCUUGUUAGAGAUUUAUUCAUUUUGUUAAACUUUUCAAAGAAUAAUAUUUUGCUUUCCUCAUUUCCUCCUGGUUUGUUUUCAAUUUCUUUGAUUUUUGCUCUUCAUUAUUUCCUUUCUUCUUAUUUUGGGUUUAAUUUCUUGUCUUUUUCUAGACUCUUAGGGUGGAAAUGAAAAUCAAUUAUUUUAAGGCUUUCUUCCUUUUGAAUGUAAGCAAUUAAAGCUAUGAAUGCUACAUCUAAGAACUGCUUUAGCUACAUCUCACAAAUUUUGAUAUGUGUUAUUUUCGCUGUCAUUAAGUUUGAAAUACUUCUCAUUUCCUUGUUAUUUCUUCCUAGAAUCACAGUUUAUUUAGAAGUUUAUUGUUUAAUUUCCAAAUAUCUGGGGACUUUCUACAUACUUUGCUGUUAUUCUCAUUUAAUCCCAUUGUGGCCAGAAAGCAUGCUCGAAGAUGCUCAGUAUUUUAUAAUUUGUUGAGACUUACUUUUGGCCCGAGGUCUGCUCUAUCUUGGUGAAAAUUCCACAUCAACUUGGGAAGAGCAUUUUGUCCUUGUUAGGUGUAGGUUUCUAUAGAUAUCAGUUCAUUAGAGGUGGCUUAUACUUCAGACCUUCUGGUUUUUUAAGCAUGUUAAAAGAUCCAGCUAGGACUGUGGAUUUGUUUGCUUCUCCCUUUUGUUCUUUCAGAUAUUAUAUUUUGAAUUGCUGUAUACACAUUUAUAUUUGUUAUGUCUUCCUGAUGUUCUGACCCUUUUCGACAUGAUGAACUAGUCCUCUCUGUUCUCAAUAAACCUCUUAUCUUGCAGCCUAUUUUGCUUGAUGUUAAUAUAGACACUCUAGGUUUCUAACGGUUGAUGGUUCCAUGUGUAGUGGGUUAAAUAGUGCUCCUCCAUAAUUCACUUCCACCUGGAACCUCAGAAUGUGACCUUAUUUGUAAAUCAUAUUUGUAGAUUGUAAUUAAAGUAAGGAUCAAAAUGAGAUCACAUUGGAUUAGGAUGAGCUCCACAUCCAAUAAGACUGAACUUAUAAGGACACACAGGGACAGAAGAAAGAAGGCCAUGAAAAGACAAAGCAGAGAUUGGAGUGAUGCUGCCACAAGCCAAGAAGGGCUAGGAGCCACCAGAGGCUGAAAGAGGCCAAGAAGUAUCCUCCUCUAGAGGUUUCAGAGGGAUGUGGCCUUGCCAACACCUUGACUUUGCCUUCUGGUGUCUAGAACUGUGAGAUAAUGAAUUUCUGUUGUUUUAACCUUCUCAGCUUUUAAUUUCUGACCACAGCCCUAGGAAAUUAAUACAGCAUAUACCUUAGUAAGUUUAUGCUACAACAUAAUAUCACGGACUGAGUGACUUAACAAUUUAUUUUACCUCAGUUCUAGAAGCUGCCAGUCCAAGAUCAGAAUGCCAGGUGGCUGUCCUCUGGUGGGGUCCUCUUCCUGGUGAGUAGAUGGCCACCUCACUGUGCCCUCACAUGGCAGGAACAGUGUAAGCAAGCUCUCUGGUGUCUCUUCUUAUAAGGGCACUUAUCCUAUCACAGGGCCCCACCCGCAGGACUUCACCUAAACCUAAUUACCUCCCAAAGGCUCCAUCUCCACAAACCAUCACACUGGGGGCUAGGACUUCAACAUAUGAAUUUGAAAGAGACACAUUCAGUCCAUAAUACCAUGGUAUAUAUUUUCAUUCUUUUUACUACUAACCUACUUGUGUCUGUAUUUAAGGUGUGUUCCUUAUAAACAGCACUGAGUUGGGUCUUUUCUUUUUAAUGCACUCUGACAUUCUCUGGUCCUUUAUUUUGGGGGCGGCAGCAGUUAGUCCACUUAUAUUUAAUUAUAGUUGAAUUUAAAUCUGCCACUUUGAUAUUUGUUUCCUAUUGAGUUCAUUUGUUUGUUUCCCUCUGCUCCUCCUUUCUUUGGGUGUAAUUGAAGCUUUUUGGUAUUUCAGUUUUAUUUCCCCAUUGGCUUUUAAGACACACUACUUUGCAUUAUUUUUUAGUGGUUGCUGUAAGGCUGCAUUUUACCAAAUGAUAGCUACUAACUAAUGUGGCUAUUUAAAUUUAAAAUUUAAGCUAAUUAAAAUUAUACAAAAUUAAAAUUUAGUUCCUUAGUCACAAAACCCACAUUGCAAGUGUUCAAUGAAUAUGUGUGACUAGCGGCUAUCUUAUAUAUGACAAAGCAGUUAUAGACUAUUUCUAACACUGCAAAAAGUUGUAUUGGUGAUUUAUCACAAUCUACUUACAGUUAAUAUACUAUUUAACACAAAAUAUUGGGAUUUUGUGAGCAUAUAAUUCCUUUACCCCCAUCUUUUGCAAUGCUUUCAUAUAUUUCGCAUAUAUUUCAUCUAUAUACAUCAUAAGCCCACAAUACUAAUAUUUUUUCUUGAAGAGAAAUAUGAUUUUUUAAGUUUAAAAGGAAAGAAUAUGGCUAGGUGCGGUGGCUCAGGCCUGUAAUCCCAGCACUUUGGGAGGCCGAGGCGGGUGGAUCACAAGCUCAGGAGAUCGAGACCAUCCUGGCUAACAUGGUGAAACCCGUCUCUACUAAAAAAUACAAAAAAUUAGCCGGGCGUGGUGGCGGGCGCCUGUAGUCCCAGCUACUCGGUAGGCUGAGGCAGGAGAAUGGCGUGAACCCGGGAGGCGGAGCUUGCAGUGAGCCAAGAUCUCACCACUGCACUCCAGCCUGGAUGACAGAGCGAGAUUCCGUCUCAAAAAAAAAAAAAAAAAAAAAGGAAAGAAUACAUAUAGUUUUUAUAUUUACCCACAUAUUUACCAUUUCUGCUGAUCUUUAUUUUUCCCCUAAUCUGAUACCAUCUUUUGACAUAUAUCCCCUAAAGAGCUCCAUUUAUCAUUUUUCAUAGUGUGGGUCAACUGAAGACAAAUUCUCUCAGAUUUUUAUCUUAUUUUUUACCUUUAUUAUUGAAAUAUAACUUUGCAGCAUGUAAAAUUCUAGGUUAAUCGUUGUUUUUCAGCAGUUCAACUGUGUCGUUCUAGUGCCUUUUGGCCUUUAUUGUUUCCAGUAAAAAGCUAACAUUAUUCAUAUGUUGUUUAUCACACAUAAUGUCUCUUUUUUCUUCAGCUGCUUUUAUAAUUUUCUCUUCAUAUUUGGAGUUCAGCAAUGUUACUAUAUGUACAUAGGUCUGAUUUUCUAUGUAUUGGUCCUGCCUGUGGUUCAUUGGGUUUCUUGGAUUUAUAAAUUGUCUUUUACCAAGUAUCAGAAAUUUGAAGCCACUAUUUCUUCCAAAAUUUUCUUUUUCCUCACUUCCUAAGACUCUGCACUUAUAUUAGACGAGAUUAUAUUGACCAACAGGUCUCUGAAGAUCUGUAUGUUUUUCUUCCACUGCUUUUCUUCCAUCUUUUUUCAGAUAGGAUCAUUUCUAUUGAUCUAUUUUGUAGUUCCUCAAUUUAUUCUGUCUUCAGUCUGCUGUUAGGCACCUCCAGUGAAUUUUUCCUUCAGUUAUAGUAAUUUUCAAUUUCAGUAUUUCCAUUUAUUUCUUGUUAUGCUUCAAUUUCUUGCUGAGAUUCUCCAUUUGCUCAUUUAUUAUGUGUAUCUCUUCUUUUAAAUAUGUGAACAUAUUUAUAAUAGCUGCUUUAAAAUCCUUGUCUGCUGAUUGUUACGGUUGAGUCAUCUAGGCAUCAAUUUACAUCAAAUUUUGUGGGUCAUAUUUUCCUGUUUCUGUGCAUGUCUAGUGUGCUUUUUGUUUGACACUGGACAUUAUGAAUGAUAUGUUGUAGAGACUUGGAGUUCUGUUUUAUUUCUCUAAUGAAUGAUUUUUGUUUUCUUAUUAUAAAAAGUUCACUUGGCUUGACUCAGACUCCAAACUCUGUCUCCCCUAAAGUGAGAAGCACCUGAAAUCUUUGUUCUUUUAGCUUUUCUAGUAUUUUGUCAGGCCACUGAGGUCUCCCCCAUCCAUUGUUGUUCAGUGAUCUGCCAAAGAUUUGAGUAGAUUUGAUAUACAAAUGUGAGGGGGUCACACCUCUGAAGUUUCUUUCCUUCUAGGAUUUCACUGCUAAUGGUCUGGUUUUUCUCCCAGCUCCAAAUUGUAUUCUGUGACAUUUCAAGUCAGAAAGUACAGCCAGCUUCAUGGGCCUGUGACCUGCAAAUUCAUACAAGGGCCACACACAUGGUUUAAUGUUCUGCUAUCACUGUCUUGAAAUUAUUAUUCAAUGAGGGGCCACAUUUUAACUGACGUACUUAAGUAUAAAAAUCCACUCUAGGCCUGGUGUGGUGGCUCACGCCUAUAAUCCCAACACUUUGGGAGGCCAAGGUGGGAGGAUCCCUUGAGCCUAGGCGUUUCAGAUCAGCCUAGACAACAUAGUGAAAACUCGUCUUUACUCAAAAUAAAAAUUAAAAAAAUUAGCCAGGCCUGAUGGUGCACACCUGUAAUCCUGGCUAUUCUGGAAGCUGAGGCAGGAGGAUUACUUGAGCCCAGGAGUUCUAUAUUGCAGUGAGCUAUGAUCAUGCCACUGCAUUCCAGCCUGGGUGACAGAGAGAGAUCCUGUCUUAAAAAAAAAAAUCCAUAAAAUAUUUGUUUUCAUUUUCAGCUGACUUUAGUAUACAAAAUAUUAUCCUUCUUGUAUGAUAUUGAUAAAGUUUAGCUAAUAAGUUAUAAUAGAAAAGCAAUUGCUGUAAGUCUCUUGGGUCUCAGUUUCUUCAAAAGCCUUUCCUGCCUCACACACUACUCUUCCCCAUCUCGAUUUAAACAGGACCUUCCUUUAUACUCUGAGAAUCCUGUUUUUUCCCUUCAUGGCAUUAGCGUAAUUUACAAUUAAUAUAUUUACCUGUGUUUUUAUGAUUGAGUAUAUUUCUACCUCAUUAGUCUAUAAAUUCCAUGAGGACCCCUGUCUUUGCCUCACCCAGCACCAACAAGAAUGCCUAGGGUACUGUAGGCACUUAAUUAAAUGGAUGAAUGGAUAAAUGGAUAGAUGGAUGAGUGAAUGAAUAGCGAAAAUGACAGUGAUAUUUAGUAACUUUUUCUAUUUUCCCAAGUUAGAUUUUCUAUAGUCCUCCUUUCUUUUGCUCAAAUAUCUAAAAGUAUGCCAUAAUUUUAGCAAAAUUUGGGGAACAAUGUUAGGUCAAAAGUAGUACAUGUAUGCACAUUUGUUAUCAGUAGGACCCCCAAAAGAAAUGUGAAUGCCGGAUCUCCAACUUCUUGAUUUAAAAAUGUAAUCCAGGCCCGGCGCGCUGGCUCACGCCUGUAAUCCCAGCACUUUGGGAGGCAAGGUGGGUGGAUCCCUCGAGGUCAGGAGUUCGAGACCAGCAGCCUGGCCAACAUGGUGAAACCGUCUCUACUAAAAAUUCAAAAAAAAAAAGAAAAAAAGAAAAAUUAGCUGGGAGUGGUGGUGGGUGCCUGCAGUCCCAGCUACUCGGGAGGCUGAGGCAGUAGAACCACUGGAACCGGGGAGGCGGAGGUUGCAGUGAGCCGUGAUUGCACCACUGCACUCUAGCCUGGGCAACAGAGCCAGACUGUUUCAAAAAGAAAAAAUGUAAUCCAAUGUAGUAUUUACAUCUAGUGCCAACGGGUACAGUGCACACUGUGCUGCAUGCUGUGUUUCAUUAAGCAGCCUAAUCUGGUGUGUUAAUGAGAGAUGUAUUUAACUAUCAGCUAUAAUAUUCCAUGUCAUUUUCCAAGGAACACAUCUUACAGCAGGUUUUUCACAAGCUAUAUUGAAAUGUUCACCUGUUGCAGAAGCUCUAUAAGAUGCUAUGCAUUCAGCGGGAAAUAACCGAAGACAUAGCACCUCUGGCAGGCUUGUUUCUCAGCGUCAUGGAGAGAGCGCACCCAGUCUGAAGGCGCAUCUGCUCCUCUCUGCCCUAUAUUGUGGAUUAAGAAAAUACAGUGUAUAAUCUCAUAUUCUCAUUUCAGCAAAUAUAAAUAGUACAUGGCAAUUAUAUGUGCUCGGUUUUCAUUUUUAAGGGUGGAGAUUGUUGAAAAUGGUGUCGUGGACCAGACUCCAGAAUUGGAGAUUUUGUAGAGAUCAAAGGUAUAGUACUAUUAAAGUAGGGAUAAAGAGUGUGCAGACGUGGGUGUAAGAUAAUGAACAGAAAAGGGAGUGGCAAGGUGCAGAGAUCUCUGCAAGAAAUGG
RNAcentral lists this long non-coding RNA (7177 nucleotides) under Homo sapiens (human). RNAcentral's name for it is "HSALNT0248129". The record is from RNAcentral. Lineage: Eukaryota; Metazoa; Chordata; Mammalia; Primates; Hominidae.